This 371-nucleotide ribosomal RNA is filed under the name uncultured organism. RNAcentral's name for it is "partial 16S ribosomal RNA". It matches the Rfam family "Bacterial small subunit ribosomal RNA", at positions 527 to 896 of the family's 1533-position model. The record is from RNAcentral.
GUAGGUGGCAAGCGUUGUCCGGAAUUACUGGGCGUAAAGCGCGCGCAGGCGGUUCUUUAAGUCUGAUGUGAAAGCCCACGGGCUCAACCGUGGAGGGUCAUUGGAAACUGGAGAACUUGAGUACAGAAGAGGAAAGCGGAAUUCCACGUGUAGCGGUGAAAUGCGUAGAGAUGUGGAGGACACCAGUGGCGAAGGCGGCUUUCUGGUCUGUAACUGACGCUGAGGCGCGAAAGCGUGGGGAGCAAACAGGAUUAGAUACCCUGGUAGUCCACGCCGUAAACGAUGAGUGCUAAGUGUUAGGGGGUUUCCGCCCCUUAGUGCUGCAGCUAACGCAUUAAGCACUCCGCCUGGGGAGUACGGCCGCAAGGCUG